AUGGCUCAGAUUGAACGCUGGCGGCAGGCCUAACACAUGCAAGUCGAACGGUAACAGGAAGAAGCUUGCUUCUUUGCUGACGAGUGGCGGACGGGUGAGUAAUGUCUGGGAAACUGCCUGAUGGAGGGGGAUAACUACUGGAAACGGUAGCUAAUACCGCAUAACGUCGCAAGACCAAAGAGGGGGACCUUCGGGCCUCUUGCCAUCGGAUGUGCCCAGAUGGGAUUAGCUAGUAGGUGGGGUAACGGCUCACCUAGGCGACGAUCCCUAGCUGGUCUGAGAGGAUGACCAGCCACACUGGAACUGAGACACGGUCCAGACUCCUACGGGAGGCAGCAGUGGGGAAUAUUGCACAAUGGGCGCAAGCCUGAUGCAGCCAUGCCGCGUGUAUGAAGAAGGCCUUCGGGUUGUAAAGUACUUUCAGCGGGGAGGAAGGGAGUAAAGUUAAUACCUUUGCUCAUUGACGUUACCCGCAGAAGAAGCACCGGCUAACUCCGUGCCAGCAGCCGCGGUAAUACGGAGGGUGCAAGCCGUUAAUCGGACUUACUGGGCGUAAAGCGCACGCAGGCGGUUUGUUAAGUCAGAUGUGAAAUCCCCGGGCUCAACCUGGGAACUGCAUCUGAUACUGGCAAGCUUGAGUCUCGUAGAGGGGGGUAGAAUUCCAGGUGUAGCGGUGAAAUGCGUAGAGAUCUGGAGGAAUACCGGUGGCGAAGGCGGCCCCCUGGACGAAGACUGACGCUCAGGUGCGAAAGCGUGGGGAGCAAACAGGAUUAGAUACCCUGGUAGUCCACGCCGUAAACGAUGUCGACUUGGAGGUUGUGCCCUUGAGGCGUGGCUUCCGGAGCUAACGCGUUAAGUCGACCGCCUGGGGAGUACGGCCGCAAGGUUAAAACUCAAAUGAAUUGACGGGGGCCCGCACAAGCGGUGGAGCAUGUGGUUUAAUUCGAUGCAACGCGAAGAACCUUACCUGGUCUUGACAUCCACGGAAGUUUUCAGAGAUGAGAAUGUGCCUUCGGGAACCGUGAGACAGGUGCUGCAUGGCUGUCGUCAGCUCGUGUUGUGAAAUGUUGGGUUAAGUCCCGCAACGAGCGCAACCCUUAUCCUUUGUUGCCAGCGGUCCGGCCGGGAACUCAAAGGAGACUGCCAGUGAUAAACUGGAGGAAGGUGGGGAUGACGUCAAGUCAUCAUGGCCCUUACGACCAGGGCUACACACGUGCUACAAUGGCGCAUACAAAGAGAAGCGACCUCGCGAGAGCAAGCGGACCUCAUAAAGUGCGUCGUAGUCCGGAUUGGAGUCUGCAACUCGACUCCAUGAAGUCGGAAUCGCUAGUAAUCGUGGAUCAGAAUGCCACGGUGAAUACGUUCCCGGGCCUUGUACACACCGCCCGUCACACCAUGGGAGUGGGUUGCAAAAGAAGUAGGUAGCUUAACCUUCGGGAGGGCGCUUACCACUUUGUGAUUCAUGACUGGGGUGAAGUCGUAACAAGGUAACCGUAGGGGAACCUGCGGU
This 1510-nucleotide ribosomal RNA is filed under the name uncultured Gammaproteobacteria bacterium. RNAcentral's name for it is "bacterial SSU rRNA". It matches the Rfam family "Bacterial small subunit ribosomal RNA". Lineage: Bacteria; Pseudomonadati; Pseudomonadota; Gammaproteobacteria. The record is from RNAcentral.